CCUACGGGGAGCUGCAGUGAGGAAUAUUGGUCAAUGGGCGCGAGCCUGAACCAGCCAAGUAGCGUGAAGGAUGACUGCCCUACGGGUUGUAAACUUCUUUUAUAAAGGAAUAAAGUGAGGCACGCGUGCCUUUUUGUAUGUAUUUUAUGAAUAAGCAUCGGCUAACUCCGUGCCGGCAGCCGCGGUAAUACGGAGGAUCCGAGCGUUAUCCGGAUUUAUUGGGUUUAAAGGGAGCGUAGAUGGGUUGUUAAGUCAGUUGUGAAAGUUUGAGGCUCAACCGUAAAAUUGCAAUUGAUACUGGCAGCCUUGAGUUCAGUUGAGGUAGGCGGAAUUCGUGGUGUAGCGGUGAAAUGCUUAGAUAUCACGAAGAACUCCGAUUGCGAAGGCAGCCUACUAAACUGCCACUGACAUUGAUGCUCGAAAGUGUGGGUAUCAAACAGGAUUAGAUACCCGAGUAGUC
Molecule: ribosomal RNA, 460 nt
Filed under: uncultured bacterium
Lineage: Bacteria
Description: partial 16S ribosomal RNA
Rfam family: Bacterial small subunit ribosomal RNA
Source: RNAcentral